UAAGGAAUAUUGGUCAAUGGACGAAAGUCUGAACCAGCCAUCCCGCGUGCAGGAAGAAGGGGCUCUGCCUUGUAAACUGCUUUUGAAUGGGACGAAAGAUACAUUUGCGAAUGUAGUUGACGGUACCAUUAGAAUAAGCACCGGCUAACUCCGUGCCAGCAGCCGCGGUAAUACGGAGGGUGCAAGCGUUAUCCGGAAUUACUGGGUUUAAAGGGUGCGUAGGCGGUGAUAUAAGUCAGUGGUGAAAGGCCGUAGCUUAACUAUGGGAUUGCCAUUGAUACUGUAUGACUUGAAUCAGGUUGAGGUUGGCGGAAUGUGGCAUGUAGCGGUGAAAUGCUUAGAUAUGCCAUAGAACACCGAUUGCGAAGGCAGCUGACUGGACCUUUGAUUGACGCUGAGG
This 400-nucleotide ribosomal RNA is filed under the name uncultured bacterium. Its description in RNAcentral is "bacterial SSU rRNA". It matches the Rfam family "Bacterial small subunit ribosomal RNA", at positions 355 to 751 of the family's 1533-position model. The record is from RNAcentral.